UACGGAAGGUCCGGGCGUUAUCCGGAUUUAUUGGGUUUAAAGGGAGCGCAGGCGGCCUUUUAAGCGUGACGUGAAAUGUACGGGCUCAACCGGUGCAGUGCGUCGCGAACUGAAUGGCUUGAGUGGGCUCGAGGGAGGCGGAAUUCGUGGUGUAGCGGUGAAAUGCUUAGAUAUCACGAAGAACCCCGAUUGCGAAGGCAGCCUCCCAGUGCCUUACUGACGCUAAAGCUCGAAGGUGCGGGUAUCGAAC
RNAcentral lists this ribosomal RNA (250 nucleotides) under uncultured prokaryote. RNAcentral describes it as "partial 16S ribosomal RNA". It matches the Rfam family "Bacterial small subunit ribosomal RNA", at positions 524 to 773 of the family's 1533-position model. The record is from RNAcentral.